CCCACCCAAAAAUUAAAAAAAAAAAAAAAAAAGUUUUAGAUUUAUUUUUUCAUUUGUUAAAAACAAUUUUUGCAAUUUUCAUUACUUGGUACUUAAAACACAAUCAACGUUCAGAAACCUGAAUGUCACUGAAACUGAAUUCAUGUUAUGCAGAAAUGAAAUGGAAGCUGGGUAGUCUCCUUCACCCAUAGCUGUCCUAAAACGUGUCCAGAAAUAUGGUUAGGCAGGUAAAAAUUAUGAUAAAAAAUAAUUAAAAUAAUAAACAAGUAAGAUUAGCAGCUGGCUAGCUGGGCGAACUACUACCAAUGCUUCUAGGUUGAUGAUUAGUUAAUUUUAUAAACAAGUAAGAUUAGCAGCUGGCUAGCUGGGCGAACUACUACCAAUGCUUCUAGGUUGAUGAUUAGUUAAUUUUAAAAAAGGGGUCAUAAUUGGAAAUUGGAAAAGAAAAUAACAAUCUGAAUGAUAUUGAAAGAAACCAGUUAGAGAUUUGUACUGUCCAGGAAAUUAUCCCAAAAGGGUUGAUAUCUAGUGCCCUCUUCUCCUUGA
RNAcentral lists this long non-coding RNA (546 nucleotides) under Manihot esculenta (cassava). RNAcentral describes it as "long non-coding RNA (MESC_LNC008541)". The record is from RNAcentral. Lineage: Eukaryota; Viridiplantae; Streptophyta; Magnoliopsida; Malpighiales; Euphorbiaceae.